RNAcentral lists this ribosomal RNA (495 nucleotides) under uncultured bacterium. Its description in RNAcentral is "partial 16S ribosomal RNA". It matches the Rfam family "Bacterial small subunit ribosomal RNA", at positions 28 to 507 of the family's 1533-position model. The record is from RNAcentral.
GACGAACGCUGGCGGCGUGCCUAAUACAUGCAAGUAGAACGCUGAAGGAGGAGCUUGCUUCUCUGGAUGAGUUGCGAACGGGUGAGUAACGCGUAGGUAACCUGCCUGGUAGCGGGGGAUAACUAUUGGAAACGAUAGCUAAUACCGCAUAAGAGUAGAUGUUGCAUGACAUUUGCUUAAAAGGUGCAAUUGCAUCACUACCAGAUGGACCUGCGUUGUAUUAGCUAGUUGGUGGGGUAACGGCUUACCAAGGCGACGAUACAUAGCCGACCUGAGAGGGUGAUCGGCCACACUGGGACUGAGACACGGCCCAGACUCCUACGGGAGGCAGCAGUAGGGAAUCUUCGGCAAUGGACGGAAGUCUGACCGAGCAACGCCGCGUGAGUGAAGAAGGUUUUCGGAUCGUAAAGCUCUGUUGUAAGAGAAGAACGAGUAUGAGAGUGGAAAGUUCACACUGUGACGGUAUCUUACCAGAAAGGGACGGCUAACUACGUG